Molecule: ribosomal RNA, 2887 nt
Filed under: Staphylococcus aureus H69239
Lineage: Bacteria; Bacillati; Bacillota; Bacilli; Caryophanales; Staphylococcaceae
Also listed under: 1 other name
Description: bacterial LSU rRNA
Rfam family: Bacterial large subunit ribosomal RNA
Source: RNAcentral
UUAAGUUAUUAAGGGCGCACGGUGGAUGCCUUGGCACUAGAAGCCGAUGAAGGACGUUACUAACGACGAUAUGCUUUGGGGAGCUGUAAGUAAGCUUUGAUCCAGAGAUUUCCGAAUGGGGAAACCCAGCAUGAGUUAUGUCAUGUUAUCGAUAUGUGAAUACAUAGCAUAUCAGAAGGCACACCCGGAGAACUGAAACAUCUUAGUACCCGGAGGAAGAGAAAGAAAAUUCGAUUCCCUUAGUAGCGGCGAGCGAAACGGGAAGAGCCCAAACCAACAAGCUUGCUUGUUGGGGUUGUAGGACACUCUAUACGGAGUUACAAAGGACGACAUUAGACGAAUCAUCUGGAAAGAUGAAUCAAAGAAGGUAAUAAUCCUGUAGUCGAAAAUGUUGUCUCUCUUGAGUGGAUCCUGAGUACGACGGAGCACGUGAAAUUCCGUCGGAAUCUGGGAGGACCAUCUCCUAAGGCUAAAUACUCUCUAGUGACCGAUAGUGAACCAGUACCGUGAGGGAAAGGUGAAAAGCACCCCGGAAGGGGAGUGAAAUAGAACCUGAAACCGUGUGCUUACAAGUAGUCAGAGCCCGUUAAUGGGUGAUGGCGUGCCUUUUGUAGAAUGAACCGGCGAGUUACGAUUUGAUGCAAGGUUAAGCAGUAAAUGUGGAGCCGUAGCGAAAGCGAGUCUGAAUAGGGCGUUUAGUAUUUGGUCGUAGACCCGAAACCAGGUGAUCUACCCUUGGUCAGGUUGAAGUUCAGGUAACACUGAAUGGAGGACCGAACCGACUUACGUUGAAAAGUGAGCGGAUGAACUGAGGGUAGCGGAGAAAUUCCAAUCGAACCUGGAGAUAGCUGGUUCUCUCCGAAAUAGCUUUAGGGCUAGCCUCAAGUGAUGAUUAUUGGAGGUAGAGCACUGUUUGGACGAGGGGCCCCUCUCGGGUUACCGAAUUCAGACAAACUCCGAAUGCCAAUUAAUUUAACUUGGGAGUCAGAACAUGGGUGAUAAGGUCCGUGUUCGAAAGGGAAACAGCCCAGACCACCAGCUAAGGUCCCAAAAUAUAUGUUAAGUGGAAAAGGAUGUGGCGUUGCCCAGACAACUAGGAUGUUGGCUUAGAAGCAGCCAUCAUUUAAAGAGUGCGUAAUAGCUCACUAGUCGAGUGACACUGCGCCGAAAAUGUACCGGGGCUAAACAUAUUACCGAAGCUGUGGAUUGUCCUUUGGACAAUGGUAGGAGAGCGUUCUAAGGGCGUUGAAGCAUGAUCGUAAGGACAUGUGGAGCGCUUAGAAGUGAGAAUGCCGGUGUGAGUAGCGAAAGACGGGUGAGAAUCCCGUCCACCGAUUGACUAAGGUUUCCAGAGGAAGGCUCGUCCGCUCUGGGUUAGUCGGGUCCUAAGCUGAGGCCGACAGGCGUAGGCGAUGGAUAACAGGUUGAUAUUCCUGUACCACCUAUAAUCGUUUUAAUCGAUGGGGGGACGCAGUAGGAUAGGCGAAGCGUGCGAUUGGAUUGCACGUCUAAGCAGUAAGGCUGAGUAUUAGGCAAAUCCGGUACUCGUUAAGGCUGAGCUGUGAUGGGGAGAAGACAUUGUGUCUUCGAGUCGUUGAUUUCACACUGCCGAGAAAAGCCUCUAGAUAGAAAAUAGGUGCCCGUACCGCAAACCGACACAGGUAGUCAAGAUGAGAAUUCUAAGGUGAGCGAGCGAACUCUCGUUAAGGAACUCGGCAAAAUGACCCCGUAACUUCGGGAGAAGGGGUGCUCUUUAGGGUUAACGCCCAGAAGAGCCGCAGUGAAUAGGCCCAAGCGACUGUUUAUCAAAAACACAGGUCUCUGCUAAACCGUAAGGUGAUGUAUAGGGGCUGACGCCUGCCCGGUGCUGGAAGGUUAAGAGGAGUGGUUAGCUUCUGCGAAGCUACGAAUCGAAGCCCCAGUAAACGGCGGCCGUAACUAUAACGGUCCUAAGGUAGCGAAAUUCCUUGUCGGGUAAGUUCCGACCCGCACGAAAGGCGUAACGAUUUGGGCACUGUCUCAACGAGAGACUCGGUGAAAUCAUAGUACCUGUGAAGAUGCAGGUUACCCGCGACAGGACGGAAAGACCCCGUGGAGCUUUACUGUAGCCUGAUAUUGAAAUUCGGCACAGCUUGUACAGGAUAGGUAGGAGCCUUUGAAACGUGAGCGCUAGCUUACGUGGAGGCGCUGGUGGGAUACUACCCUAGCUGUGUUGGCUUUCUAACCCGCACCACUUAUCGUGGUGGGAGACAGUGUCAGGCGGGCAGUUUGACUGGGGCGGUCGCCUCCUAAAAGGUAACGGAGGCGCUCAAAGGUUCCCUCAGAAUGGUUGGAAAUCAUUCAUAGAGUGUAAAGGCAUAAGGGAGCUUGACUGCGAGACCUACAAGUCGAGCAGGGUCGAAAGACGGACUUAGUGAUCCGGUGGUUCCGCAUGGAAGGGCCAUCGCUCAACGGAUAAAAGCUACCCCGGGGAUAACAGGCUUAUCUCCCCCAAGAGUUCACAUCGACGGGGAGGUUUGGCACCUCGAUGUCGGCUCAUCGCAUCCUGGGGCUGUAGUCGGUCCCAAGGGUUGGGCUGUUCGCCCAUUAAAGCGGUACGCGAGCUGGGUUCAGAACGUCGUGAGACAGUUCGGUCCCUAUCCGUCGUGGGCGUAGGAAAUUUGAGAGGAGCUGUCCUUAGUACGAGAGGACCGGGAUGGACAUACCUCUGGUGUACCAGUUGUCGUGCCAACGGCAUAGCUGGGUAGCUAUGUGUGGACGGGAUAAGUGCUGAAAGCAUCUAAGCAUGAAGCCCCCCUCAAGAUGAGAUUUCCCAACUUCGGUUAUAAGAUCCCUCAAAGAUGAUGAGGUUAAUAGGUUCGAGGUGGAAGCAUGGUGACAUGUGGAG